Molecule: unclassified non-coding RNA, 119 nt
Filed under: uncultured Archaeorhizomyces
Lineage: Eukaryota; Fungi; Ascomycota; Archaeorhizomycetes; Archaeorhizomycetales; Archaeorhizomycetaceae
Description: sequence contains ITS1
Source: RNAcentral
AUGAGAUGGACCUCUGGGUCCGUCAUCCCUCAAACCCGUGGAAGCGAGACGUGCUUCGGCGCCUCUGGGAGUCGAAUCUAUGCGGUUUAGCUUGUGUCUGAACAAAAGCGAAAAUUUUA